GAUGAACGCUAGCGGGAGGCUUAAUACAUGCAAGUCGAGCGGUAACUGACCGAUAGCAAUAUUGGUUAGCUAGAGCGGCGCACGGGUGAGUAACGCGUACAUAACCUACCCUAUACUGGGGGAUAGCCUUGGGAAACUGAGAUUAAUACCCCAUGGUAUUAUUUGGCCACCUGGUUGAAUAAUUAAAGUUGCGGCGGUAUAGGAUGGGUGUGCGUCUGAUUAGCUAGUUGGUAGGGUAACGGCCUACCAAGGCGAUGAUCCGUAGCGGGUCUGAGAGGACGGCCCGCCACACUGGGACUGAGACACGGCCCAGACUCCUACGGGAGGCAGCAGUGGGGAAUAUUGGACAAUGGGGGGCAACCCUGAUCCAGCCAUUCCGCGUGCAGGAUGAAUGCCCUCUGGGUUGUAAACUGCUUUAGUCUGGGAAGAAAAAGACCUAUUUAUGGGUAACUGACGGUACCAGAAGAAUAAGCACCGGCUAACUCCGUGCCAGCAGCCGCGGUAAGUCUCG
RNAcentral lists this ribosomal RNA (511 nucleotides) under uncultured bacterium. RNAcentral describes it as "bacterial SSU rRNA". It matches the Rfam family "Bacterial small subunit ribosomal RNA", at positions 28 to 529 of the family's 1533-position model. The record is from RNAcentral.